ACUACAUCAGCUGCCGCUUUUCGACUUUUCCUGUUAUCAUGGAAGUACUUCCGGCGCUGGAUUGUAGGCGCUGGAUUCACCAUCGGGCCCAAUAAAGCAACUGCAGCGGUCACCGUCUAUAUGUUUCUAGCCACGCGGUUCUUGGUCCACCUCAGUGAUUCCCCCAUAUUCCAUAGCUGAGCUCAAGUCGCAACAUCGAAUAGCCAACCAAACCGAGGCAAGCGAAAUGGGAGAAGAAGACGGCGCUCUUCUACUUUCUGGCACACAAGAAAAUACGAAUACACGGCACCGACAGCGUCAAUUCAACUGUCGAGGUAGUUUAAUCAGAGAAAUAUGGCUCGAAUCCAAGAAUUUCUGGCAGAUUGCCGGUCCCUCUAUUUUCGCUCGCCUUGCCAUGUUCUCCAUGACCGUUAUUACUCAAGCAUUCGCUGGCCACCUCGGUGAUCUCAAUCUCGCCGCCAUUUCCAUCGCCACCACUGUAAUCAUCUCCAUUAGUUUUGGCUUCCUGUGCUCUAGCUGGGCAUGGCGAGUGCGUUGGAAACGCUAUGUGGCCAAGCUUAUGGAGCCGGGCAGUACCAAAUGCUAGGCAUAUAUAUGCAACGUUCGUGGAUUGUCUUGUUUUAUGUUCUAUUUUGUUACUACCCAUGUUCUUGUUCGCAACCCCAAUAUUGAAGUUGAUUGAACAGCCUGCAGAGGUUGCUGAGCAGACAGGUUUGGUGGCAAUAUGGUUAAUACCAUUUCAUCUUAGCUUCCCUUUUCAGUUCACAUUACAAAGGUUCUUGCAGAGCCAGCUAAAGACAGGGGUUGUUGCUUGGGUAUGUGGGGCCGCUCUUCUGAUCCAUGUGUUUGUGAGUUGGUUUUUGGUUUAUUGGUUGAGAGCUGGGAUUGUUGCCACUGCUAUUACUCUUGAUUUCUCUUGGUGGGUUUCUGUUUUGGGGAUGUUUGGGUAUUGUGUUUGUGGCGGGUGUCCACUUUCUUGGACUGGUUUCUCUACACAGGCUUUUGUUGGACUUUGGCCGUUCUUUAAACUCUCUUUGGCAUCUGGGGUCAUGCUUGUGUAUGUGUGAUUAUUUCUCUUAUUUAUUUACUAAUUCGAUUUUUAAAUUGAUCUAGAACUUAAAGUGAUCAAAUUUGAAUAUUGUAAUGUUGAAGGUUGGAGAACUUUUACUACAGAGUGUUGAUUAUCGUAUCUGGGUAUAUGCACAACAAUGAGGUUGCAGUUGAUGCCCUUUCCAUCUGGUUGGUUAUUAUUUCACAAUCCUGUGGCAUUUUUUAACCUCAAUUUUUGGGUUGAAGAAUUUUAUUAUGAUCACAUAUUUUGGCAUGAAUUUUACUUUGCUUGGCAGCAUAAGUAUCUAUGCCUGGGAAUCUAUGAUUCCACUUGGAUUUUUGGCUGCAGCUGGGUACGUUACUGUUGUAAGUCUCUUCCCAUUUCUAUUCUAUUUGGAAAGCAAAACAUUAUAUGGUCAAUAAAUAACAAAGAAGGCAUUAUGUGAUAAGAAAGAGAUGUUGGAAACUGGAACGAACUUUUUCAUGCCCAAGUAGAAAUGAAUAUCAUUUACCUUUUUCCACACUUUUAAUGCCUAAGUGGAAGGAUUACAUUGUUCUUUAAAUAGAUAAAUUUCAAAAGCAUGCCUUUUACAAAAAAACCUACAUGUUGGCUAUACGGUUUGUGAUUACUAGCUCAUUUGUUUAAAGAAAUUGAUAUUCAUUUCUCUUUCAUUUACAAGCAAAUAUAAUAGCAUCUCUUUCCUUGCCAUUUUAUCAAGUCUAUUAAUUAGGUGUGUGCUAUCUUUCUUCACGUCUCAUGAGAUUCUCAUGGAUUUGAAUAAUUGUCUUAUAGUUGGUGAAUAGUGAUAUAAGAUACUCUAAGCUGCUUUGAUUGUAACAAGCAUCUCUAUUAUGGGAGAGAUAAUCUACAAAUGCAGUUGGGUUAAACCAUACAUGAAAAGUGCAAUCUCAAAUCAGCCUCGCGACUCUUUCAUUAAAAUGUAGCAGAAUUUUUUUUAUAUAUACAUCAAAUCACUCAAAUUGCAUCAUAUCUGGAAUGAUUUUGUUUAAAGCCCCCUUUUUUUGGUUCCAACUGUACUUGAACAGUCAGUUUCCGUAAUCUAUAUGUCCAAGGACCACUUUCAUUUUGAUUCUAUAUUUGCUUUCAUUUUAAGUUUGUUUAGUUAGUAUGCCAUGUGUAUUAGGUAUCAGAUUAUCAUUUGGGAGUUGUAUGUAGAGUUGAUGGAAAAUUGGAACAAACAAUUACUUAAAAGCAGUUGAAUGAUAUAAUUAUCCUUUUUCCUGUUUUCUCCUAUUGUUCUUGUGGGUUUAUGAUAAUUCAUUGAGGAACACGUAAUUCAUCAUUUUAUAAGCUAUGCUUCUGUGACAAAUUCAUGUUAUUGUCCUUCACUUUAGAGUUUCUAAUCAUCUAAUAAUUACAGGGUGCGUGUUGCAAAUGAGCUUGGCGCAGGUAAUGCUAAAGGUGCCAAAUUUGCAACCACAGUGUCAGUAUUGACCUCCCUAGUGAUUGGAUUCCUGUUUUGGCUAAUCAUCAUAGCUUUCCCUGAAAAGCUUUCAAUGAUCUUUACCUCAAGCUCCUCUGUUAUUUCAAUGGUUAAAGAGUUAGCAGUUUUACUGGCAUUCACCGUUCUCCUCAAUUGCAUUCAACCAGUUCUUUCAGGUGUUGAACAAUCCAAGAAAUUGUUAUAUAGAAUUGUGAAAUUUAAUCCCACUGCAUGGUAUUACUGCCAUAUAUUGUGGCUUCAAACUCCUUCGGUGCACUGAAGCUAGACUACUAAUCCAAUUAAACAGACUCUCUCUAGCCAUAAACCAAUCAUCUUUUGCAGGCGUGGCAAUUGGAUCUCGCUGGCAAUCAUUGGUAGCAUUUAUAAACAUUGGCAGCUAUUACAUAGUUGGGGUGCCUCUUGGGGCCUGGUUGGGAUGGCUGCUCCGCCUUGGUUUUACUGGUAUUUGGGCUGGAAUGCUUAUUGGAACUGUGGUUCAAACAUUGAUACUGACCAUCAUCACCAUGAAAUGCGAAUGGGAAAAAGAGGCAGAGAAAGCUCGACUCCACAUAACUAAAGAAACAGGCAAUAUUGAGUACACGAAUGCUUUCAUUUUUCACUCAUGAAUGGUCAUUGCAAGACCCCAGUCACCAUAUGAAAAAUAAUGAAGUAUGGGACUCAUCUCCAAACUUCUCUACUAAAUACCAUGUGAGAUACAGUAUCAUUUUUUUUCCUUUUCAAUCAAUUUGCAGCAUCUAAAAUGCCUUUGAUGCUUGUGUUGUGAUGAUGGGGAAGAUGACAAGUGAGCAUUGUAUUUCUAUAUUAUUUGUUUGUUUGUUUAUGUUUACUUUUUCAAUGCAUAUUAAAUAGGGGUAUAUUAGUAAAUUAAUAAAUAAACUAUUAUUUCAAAAUGUAAAGUGGCUUAUAAU
RNAcentral lists this unclassified non-coding RNA (3424 nucleotides) under Hevea brasiliensis (rubber tree). Lineage: Eukaryota; Viridiplantae; Streptophyta; Magnoliopsida; Malpighiales; Euphorbiaceae. The record is from RNAcentral.